Molecule: non-coding RNA, 602 nt
Organism: Punica granatum (pomegranate)
Lineage: Eukaryota; Viridiplantae; Streptophyta; Magnoliopsida; Myrtales; Lythraceae
Source: RefSeq, a predicted model, not a curated record
UGUAUGCGAUAUACAUGUAUGCAUAAGCAUAUGCAUACACAUAUAUGUGUGUACGUGUAUAAUUGUAGGGAAAUUUAAGUUGGAAUUGUUCAACUUUAAUUAAUCCUAUUAGUCUAAUAAAUUUCGGGUGUCGCACCGGUGUUUCUUUCGAGUGUUGGCCGCUAGCACCGUCGAUCUCGAAAAUUUGUUCACAAAGUCGGUGUGGAUACUUGGAUACUUAUAGAGGCGUCACACUUGGGGCGCUUGGUCGACAAUUUUAAAAUAUCAGGGAGAUGUAGGCGCCCAUGUCAGCGAUGUUCUUGACCUGUAUCUUGACGGCCAUAUCAACCUCCGGGUACUUCGCUUCGUACAUGCGGCACUCGAGGUUCGAGGAGUGAGACGCCAUGGUGACGAAGCUUUUCCUCUUCUCGGGGAAGGAACGGUGUCUCCGAUAGCAGGUGCUAGGGUUUUGACCAGGGGUUUCUAGGAGAAAGAGAAACGCAAGGGGAAAGGCGAUGGAGAAUUUGUUCUCUAUUGAUUUUGUCUUCUUUCUCUGAGUUUCUAACAAAGUGCAAUGUGGGCCCUGAACUUAUCAUGGAAAUAACAUUCGGCCCAUAAAGUAA